This 406-nucleotide ribosomal RNA is filed under the name uncultured bacterium. RNAcentral describes it as "partial 16S ribosomal RNA". It matches the Rfam family "Bacterial small subunit ribosomal RNA", at positions 30 to 526 of the family's 1533-position model. The record is from RNAcentral.
AUUGAACGCUGGCGGCAGGCCUAACACAUGCAAGUCGAACGAGUGGCGGACGGGUGAGUAAUGUCUGGGAAACUGCCUGAUGGAGGGGGAUAACUACUGGAAACGGUAGCUAAUACCGCAUACCAUCGGAUGUGCCCAGAUGGGAUUAGCUAGUAGGUGGGGUAAAGGCUCACCUAGGCGACGAUCCCUAGCUGGUCUGAGAGGAUGACCAGCCACCCUGGAACUUAGACACGGUCAAUGCUCCUACGGGACGCAGCAGUGGGGAACAUUGCACAAUGGGCGCGAGCAUGAUGCAGCCAUGCCGCGCGUAUGGAGAAGGCCUUCGGGUUGUAAAGUACUUUCUGCGGUGAUGCGUUACCCGCAGAAGAAGCACCGGCUAACUCCGUGCCAGCAGCCGCGGUAAUAC